This 484-nucleotide ribosomal RNA is filed under the name uncultured bacterium. RNAcentral describes it as "partial 16S ribosomal RNA". It matches the Rfam family "Bacterial small subunit ribosomal RNA", at positions 28 to 507 of the family's 1533-position model. The record is from RNAcentral.
AUUGAACGCUGGCGGCAUGCUUUACACAUGCCAGUCGAACGGCAGCGCGGGCUUCGGCCUGGCGGCGAGUGGCGAACGGGUGAGUAAUGCAUCGGAACGUGCCCAGCAGUGGGGGAUAGCCCGGCGAAAGCCGGAUUAAUACCGCAUACGACCUGAGGGUGCAAGCGGGGGACCGAAAGACCUCGCGCGAUUUGAGCGGCCGAUGUGGGGUUAGCUAGUUGGUGGGGUAAAUGCUUACCAAGGAGACCAUCCGCAGCUGGACUGUGAGGACGACCAGCCACACUGGAACUGAGACACGGCCCAGACGCCUGCGGGAGGGAGCAGUGGGGAAUUUUGGACAGUGGGGGCAACCCUGAUCCAGCGAUGCGGCGUGCGGGAAGAAGGCCUUCGGGUUGUAAAGCGCUUUUGUUCGGGAAGAAAUCCUCUGGGCUAAUACGCAGGGGGGAUGACGGUACCGGAAGAAUAAGCACCGGCUAACUACGUG